Molecule: long non-coding RNA, 4455 nt
Organism: Tyto alba (common barn owl)
Lineage: Eukaryota; Metazoa; Chordata; Aves; Strigiformes; Tytonidae
Exons: 2
Source: RefSeq, a predicted model, not a curated record
UUUGCAAUUCACAACUGAAACAAAUAUGACUUCAAGACAGAAAGAUUCACACACACAGAGAACUAUUCUCAAACCAAAAGCAUCUCUCUGUUUAACACAGCCCAAGAGAGGGCAAGGUAUCUGGUAUUCGCUGAGUCUACUGCUGAGAAAAUUAAAUCCAUGCUGGCCUCCCACAUCUUCAUGAUGGAUAAGUUACUUCAGAGAAGCCAAGCCUAGCAUAGACAAAGAGCGGAAGAAAGAGGCCAGGGGCUUCGGGGUGCUCAGAGCUGCAGAAGCCCCCGGCCACCUGGAAACCCGAAGCUCUGCUAUCAGGAGCUGGGGGACCUGGAACUGCAGUUCGGAGCCAGAGCUGGCAGGAGGAGGAAGAGCUCGGUUGUACACUACUCAUCAGCUCUAACAUCAGGGAAUCACCGCAAGGGCAAAGAGGAGAGGUCAGCUUUCAUGCCUGGGACGCUCUACGAAAGUCGCCUCGUAGAAGUGGGUAGUCUGUGUAUACAAGAUAUCUGGGGACCAAAACCAACAUUAUUCCAGUCUGAGCCCUCUGCAAAGAUCCCAAAGAAGGUUGAGAAGAAUCCAGCAAAGUAAAGAACAGAAGUAACCCAGAAAACCACACAAUGCUGCAUCCUUUCUGGUCAAAGAUCAGGCGGCUCCCUGCUUCCCCGGCGCAGAUCACGGAGAGCAAAGCUCACGGCCACAUCCCCGGGGCUCAGCCGCAGCCUGGUGACCCGGGCGCCUCUCUGCUCUUCUGGGGGACUCACCCCAGCAGCAGUAGCUGCUGCGUGCCUUCCACAGCAGAUCACCUCCCAAGUCAGGGAACGAAGAGAACCAUAAAACAAGACCGCAAUAAAAGCGCUGCAAAUAGAAAACUAAAGGGCAAAACGCAAAAAGAAGAAAAAAAAAAAAAAAAGAGGAGAAAGGAGAGGCAGAACCAAGGAGUGUGAAGCAGUGAUGGGAUUCUGCGCUGGGAUGCGAGGGUACAAGGGCAGCCCAUCGCUGAGCCACGACAAAGGGGCAGCUUGAGGGGAUUUGGGCAGCUCACGUCGCAAAGCAGGCAAGCCUGUCUGCAUCCUCAGUGCCUGCUUUCGGACAGCAGACUGGCAGACACAGCAUAGCCUGCUUGGGCGCUCACACCACUGCCAUGCUUCCCCUUGCUAUGACAGUCUGGCUUCAUGUCAGUUCUGCUACCUGAAUUAGCCUCCUGGUGCUGCCACUGAACACCAGUUGACACACCAGUCUAAUUCUGCUCACGCCCAAAAUAGCGCCGAGCCAAAUCAUUACCCCCUGGUUUAGGGCUUUUCAGAUACUCUGGUCUCGGGCCCAAUCUGAUUUACAACUGAAGUUGAUGGAAGAAAGUCUCAAAGCCUUCACUGAGAGGCAGAUAAGGAAUUCUGCAAAAAUUUACUGGGGGACAAUGCAGCAUUUAUUUGGGGUUUCAGUUUUAUUUUGGUUUACAGUCUAAACUUCUAAUUCCCAAGGCCACGACUCUCCCAUUGCCUUCAUGGGAUUUAGAUUGGAGUCACUUGACUGGGUUUUGCUAUGUCUAACAUGAUUGCCUUCUUUAUUUUUUGCUUUCUAAAUUUUUUCUCCUUUUGACCACAGGCGAAGGAAAUAAAUCAUCUGGUACCCUGCCAGCAAACUGCCAUAGGCGCUUCGAGACUGGAGGCAUUUCUCCUGCCCCAAAAGAGCAUUAAAAAACCCCUGGCUGAUAACUUGGACAGGGUUCAGGUAUGUUUGUGCACAUACCAACAGUUAAACUGAUUUCUUCUACUAUCUUAUCUGUCCAUUUCUGGUUUUGAAGGGGAGGAAGUUUGGCAGGCAAGUUACUCUUGGAAUGCACUCAGUAAACCAUGGGCAAGAGAAGUGAGGAGCAUAAAUAGAAAUAACCAUAGGUACAGCGGCUGGGAGCCCGACUGCUGGCUGCUAUUCCCAGCCUUACCCAUGACUCAUGGGGUGACCUUAGAAAGCCACUUCACCUCUCCACGCUCCAGCUUUCUCACAGGCAAACCCACCCAUUUCACAGGUCACCCCGGGGAGAGGGACCCCGUGUCUCCCAGCUGGGUGUCUCUGGAGGAAAAGCCUCAUCCCACUCCCCCUGCCAGCCCCGGGCAUUGCCACCACGCAGGAUCAGGGCAUCGCAGACCUGGCGCCUCUGGCCCCGAGGGGAGCUGGCAACUUUAACCGAAUUCAUUUUGCGAAGCUUUUCAGGUUCCUUCAAGGAAAGGAAAAGCACUAUAACAAAAUGUUGCUAAUUAUAGCGUGACAGCAUACAACACAUUCCUGCUCUGGACAGAACUCUGCUAUCGGCCAACUUAAUUAUACAUUACCUUUGUCCAGUUCCCUCCUUAUUAAUUGUGGCCAAAGCACUGAGCAAAGCCAAUUUGCUGCUUGCUCUCCAUUUCUCCUUAUACGAGACCAAUUCCUUGGCAGCGACAGCUAGACCGUGAGACUGUUCUGCUGGGCUGUGCCCGCUCCCCUGCCUGUGCUCCCUCCCCCCAGCAGUUGUAAACACUUCUCUCCACUUUAUUCCUGCCCGCCUGGAGCAGAUUCCUGGGAUGUUAACGCCAGAUACAGCCCUGGCCUUGGACAGGGGGUCCCAUGGCCGGAGCAGGAUGGAGCUGCACUCCGGUGCCAGGAACCUGCGAGCUCCCUGGAACGGGUCACUGGAAAAACAGAGCCUGGUUUUGCAGGAAAGGCUUUUUAGUGGUGUUUGGGAGCCUCCUGCACCCAUCGCAGAGGUGGGGCCCUCCGUACCUCAUGGUGCAGCGCAGGGACAGUGACGGGCUUGAGUGCUAGCAGCGAGCAGGAAAACUGCAGUAAAAGCCACAGAGCCCGCGCACACUGUUAACCCCUCUGCGUGCAUCAGGACCAGCAGCAGCACAAAGGCAUCCUGGAUCAAUCUAAUUUCUGUAUAAAAACAGGAAACCGCCCCUCCCUUCGCCAAAACAGAGGAAGAGCUGCGUGGGCUCUAUCUGUGUUGCCGAGAAAAGGGGCAGGGGAAGGAGCAAACGGCUCCCUUUGUCUUAUCCGGGAGCGUGUCAGAAAGAGGACGCCUCAGUCAGUUUGCUCCAGGGGUACUUUUAAGUCUGUCCCCAGCACGGGUCUUGGAAAACAGGGAAAGUCAGAAGAUCUCUACUCCAACAGGACUCAGACCAGAGAGGCUCAGACCUCUCCUAACACCCCUUUCCGCUACAGGCAGCAGGGCAGGGGUGCCUCCCCGAGCCACCCUGGGCUGCGGGCAUUUCAUGGGGGGCCACGGGUCCCAAUUCAGUUUGGGCUGGUGGCAGCUGAGCCCCAAUGCUCUCUGAUGGUUGUACGGUGACCUGGAGGAAAUGAAUCCUCACACACAAGCCCGCCAGCCCUCCCCUCCUCCUCCAGCAGUCACAGCAGGGAAAGCCAAGAUUGAUUCAAGACUGAGAAAAAAUAAGCCCUUUCCCUUCAGAAACAGUGCCUCCCACACUGGACCAAGCAUUUUGAGGCAGGAGGGAGGUUUUUAUUUUUGACACUUUUACUUUUGUAAUGAAAGACUUCUUAUGAGUGCAGGGAUGUCAGAUAAUACCUUCCCUCUGUCCCACAUCCAUUGCAGAAAGAAGAGGGGAAAGUGAGAAAGCAUCUAUAUUCUUUUUUCUUGUCUUUAUUCCCCUGGACUGAGAUGAAUCUACCACUGACAACUCUAACUUGGGAACCAGCAUCUCAGCCAACAUCUCCUCAGUGCACAGCAACCUGCUCCCCUUUACUCCAUCAUAUCACACUGCUUUUGUGUUACAGAGGAGCCACAGAAAGGCAACACUAGAAGAUGAAAGAGGCAGAAUAUUUAUUAGAAGCCCCUGAAGCUUUGAGGAACUCUUUAGAAUAAUUCAAGACAGCUGAUGGCUUGGGAUGGGGGACCAGGAAUAGCCUGAUGUUUCGACUACCAAGUUAAAUUAUUUCCCAACCUGUGCAACAGCUUCAGCUGAAGUAGAUGGGCCUUCAGUGCUUGCAGUGUGGAGGAGCUAGGGGAACAGGUGGGUUGGCCACAUGAGUUAGCCCAGGAUCAUGCUAAUGUAAGAUGUAAAUGUAAAUGUAAUUGUAAAUCCUGCAACUUGAUUGUGUUUGCUCUGGGAUUGCAUGCACACAAAUCAGGCCAUAAUCAAAGCUUUACCCAUUUCAAUGUCACCUGAUCAAUUAUAAAUAGAGAUUGUAAGGUGUUAAACCAAAAACCGUGUACAGAAAUUAUUCUGCAUAUAGAAGUUGUUCUCAGCUUAGCAUAUACAUGAGAAACCUCAAAGUCAGGCACAGGUUUUCCUGACAAUGAGUCCUGGACCUUGCUGUUCCAAAACAGAAAUGUCAGAAUGGUAUUUGUUCACACAGUCAUAACCAUCAUUUUCUUUGCUGUCUUGUAGCCAGCAGGUCAUGUUCACUUGUGCUUAGAGGUGCCCACAGAGGAAUCCAACCUGCAAAUAAAGAACUGCAACAGAA